This 301-nucleotide unclassified non-coding RNA is filed under the name Funneliformis mosseae. RNAcentral describes it as "partial contains 5.8S ribosomal RNA and internal transcribed spacer 2". The stretch from base 1 to 71 matches the Rfam family "5.8S ribosomal RNA", at positions 84 to 154 of the family's 154-position model. The record is from RNAcentral. Lineage: Eukaryota; Fungi; Glomeromycota; Glomeromycetes; Glomerales; Glomeraceae.
GUGAAUCAUCAAAUUUUUGAACGCAAAUUGCACUUCCUGGUAUUCCGGGGAGUAUGCCUGUUUGAUGGUCGUUAGAACAAAAAUCGAAGCGUCGCUCUUUUUGUUAAGUGUGAUCGCGUCUGAAUUUAGCCGUCUUUCAAAUGUUAUUUCAUGUCAAAGUGGCUUAAAAUUCAUCCAUCCGGUACGAUUAAAUCGUAUUUAAGAUCAACUUUGAUUAAUAACUCUCGAUGAACGUACCAUCUCAUGUAGUACGUUUGACUUGACGUCGUCAUGAUCAUUCGUAUACGAUACUCAAACUUUU